CCCCUCUCAGGGUAGCAUCUGGAGGGUUUCCAGUACUCUACCAGUCUCGGCUAUGGGAGGGAGAGUCAAGCAGAGGUCCACCCGUUCCAUUCCUAGCUUGGCCAGUGGCUAGGAAGUGGAAGGCCAUCUGCUACAAAU
Small nucleolar RNA from Ornithorhynchus anatinus (platypus), 138 nucleotides. The record is from RefSeq and is a predicted model, not a curated record. Lineage: Eukaryota; Metazoa; Chordata; Mammalia; Monotremata; Ornithorhynchidae.